RNAcentral lists this ribosomal RNA (253 nucleotides) under uncultured bacterium. RNAcentral describes it as "partial 16S ribosomal RNA". It matches the Rfam family "Bacterial small subunit ribosomal RNA", at positions 524 to 776 of the family's 1533-position model. The record is from RNAcentral.
GACGUAGGGCGCGAGCGUUGUCCGGAUUUAUUGGGCGUAAAGAGCUCGUAGGCGGCUUGUCGCGUCGACUGUGAAAACCCGCGGCUCAACUGCGGGCCUGCAGCCGAUACGGGCAGGCUAGAGUUCGGUAGGGGAGACUGGAAUUCCUGGUGUAGCGGUGAAAUGCGCAGAUAUCUGGAGGAAUACCGGUGGCGAAGGCGGCAUCCUGGACCGGCAUUGACGCUGAGGAGCGAAAGCCAGGGGAGCAAACGGG